AGACGGAGGAUGCAAGCGUUAUCCGGAAUGAUUGGGCGUAAAGCGUCCGUAGGUGGCAGUUCAAGUCUGCUGUCAAAGACCGGGGCUCAACCUCGGAAAGGCAGUGGAAACUGAACAGCUAGAGUAUGGUAGGGGCAAAGGGAAUUCCUGGUGUAGCGGUGAAAUGCGUAGAGAUCAGGAAGAACAUCGGUGGCGAAGGCGCUUUGCUGGACCAUAACUGACACUGAGGGACGAAAGCUAGGGGAGCGAAUGGGAUUAGAUACCCCAGUAGUCCUAGCCGUAAACGAUGGAUACUAGGUGUUGUCUGUAUCGACCCGGACAGUGCCGUAGCUAACGCGUUAAGUAUCCCGCCUGGGGAGUACGCACGCAAGUGUGAA
This 377-nucleotide ribosomal RNA is filed under the name uncultured bacterium. RNAcentral describes it as "bacterial SSU rRNA". It matches the Rfam family "Bacterial small subunit ribosomal RNA", at positions 523 to 898 of the family's 1533-position model. The record is from RNAcentral.